This 468-nucleotide ribosomal RNA is filed under the name uncultured bacterium. RNAcentral's name for it is "partial 16S ribosomal RNA". It matches the Rfam family "Bacterial small subunit ribosomal RNA", at positions 28 to 507 of the family's 1533-position model. The record is from RNAcentral.
GACGAACGCUGGCGGCGUGCUUAACACAUGCAAGUCGAACGGAAAGGCCCUGCUUUUGUGUUGUGCUCGAGUGGCGAACGGGUGAGUAACACGUGAGUAACCUGCCCUUGACUUUGGGAUAACUUCUGGAAACUGCGGCUAAUACCGGAUAGGAGCUCCUGCUGCAUGGUUGGGGUUUGAAAGUUUCUUCGGUUUGGGAUGGACUCGCGGCUUAUCAGCUUGUUGGUGGGGUAGUGGCUUACCAAGGCUUUGACGGGUAGCCGGCCUGAGAGGGUGACCGGCCACACUGGGACUGAGAUACGGCCCAGACUCCUACGGGAGGCAGCAGUGGGGAAUAUUGCACAAUGGGCGGAGGCCUGAUGCAGCAACGCCGCGUGAGGGAUGACGGCCUUCGGGUUGUAAACCGCUUUCGGCAGUGAAGAAGCGUGAGUGACGGUAAUGGGAAAAGAAGCACCGGCUAACUACGUG